Molecule: ribosomal RNA, 418 nt
Filed under: uncultured bacterium
Lineage: Bacteria
Description: bacterial SSU rRNA
Rfam family: Bacterial small subunit ribosomal RNA
Source: RNAcentral
GGGGAAUAUUGCACAAUGGGCGAAAGCCUGAUGCAGCGACGCCGCGUGAGGGAUGACGGCCUUCGGGUUGUAAACCUCUUUCGCUCAUGGUCAAGCCGCAACACUUGGUUGUGGUGAGGGUAGUGGGUAAAGAAGCGCCGGCUAACUACGUGCCAGCAGCCGCGGUAAUACGUAGGGCGCGAGCGUUGUCCGGAAUUAUUGGGCGUAAAGGGCUUGUAGGCGGUUGGUCGCGUCUGCCGUGAAAUCCUCUGACUUAACUGGGGGCGUGCGGUGGGUACGGGCUGACUUGAGUGCGGUAGGGGAGACUGGAACUCCUGGUGUAGCGGUGGAAUGCGCAGAUAUCAGGAAGAACACCGGUGGCGAAGGCGGGUCUCUGGGCCGUUACUGACGCUGAGGAGCGAAAGCGUGGGGAGCGAAC